UGCCUGUACGUAGAGUUUUGUUGUAGCUGUGCCCGCAAGGGGAUGUGCACACCUUCUCUUUCAUCCACACACCCCUGUGCACUCGUGAGACAGAGGCUUCCUUUGAACUCUCUUUAGGUAGGGAGGAGAGGGGCCUCUGUCUGUUCUACACAAACUCAUAUUUAAUAAAUUGAAUGUAAUUGAUGUAAACGCAUCUCAAUACUAAGUUUCAACAACGGAUCUCUUGGCUCUCGCAUCGAUGAAAAACGCAGCGAAAUGCGAUAAGUAAUGUGAAUUGCAGAAUUCAGUGAAUCAUCGAAUCUUUGAACGCACCUUGCGCUCCUUGGUAUUCCUCGGAGCAUGCCUGUUUGAGUAUCAUGAAAUUAUCAAAGCAAGACUUUUGUUAAAUCGAUUGGCUUGUCUUUGGACUUGGGGGUUUGCAGAUUCACGUCUGCUCUCCUUAAACACAUCAGCUGGAUCUCAGUAUGCUUGGUUCCACUCAGCGUGAUAAGUAUCAUUCGCUGAGGACACCCGUGAAAAGGUGGCCAGGAGUGCAGAUGAACCGCUUCCAACAGUCUAUUUGCUUAGACAACUUAUUUAUGAUCUGAUCUCAAAUCAGGUAGGACUACCCGCUGAACUUAA
This 621-nucleotide ribosomal RNA is filed under the name Ascomycota sp. H-38. Its description in RNAcentral is "eukaryotic LSU rRNA". The stretch from base 204 to 357 matches the Rfam family "5.8S ribosomal RNA". The record is from RNAcentral. Lineage: Eukaryota; Fungi; Ascomycota.